UUGAAGAGAGAGUAGCGCUGUAUGCUGCUAGCUACCAUGCACAAAGUAAUACAUUCCAUUUAUAUACUCACUUUCUUAGGAUCGCAUGUCACCCGUGAGAAAUGUGUUAUCUCUGGCCAUGAUACCUAGGCGAAGAAGGUUUAAUUCAUCCGGAAGCUAACAAUUGAACGGAGACAAUGUUCUCUGUCGCGAGUUUAGCCCAGACGCUUCUCCUCUACGUUAGACUCAGUGCUGAAAAUUAGUCAUUUUACUUCCGGGAGAGGCUAUACGGACCAAAGAUCACUGUGUACCUCGUCAGAAUACCUUCGGGAACCACCUUCUUGCACAGACUGAGAAGGAUGUGGAGGUUUUUGACGAGGAGAAACAGAAGGAGAGCAACCGGGGGAGAAUCAAGAAGGGGAAGUAAAGAAGGGCAAGUACUUCGACAUCUGGGCAAAUUACUUGGGUUUCGAAGAAGGACGAAAGGAAGGCAAGACUUGGGGGAACCUCGCUGCUUUUUCGCUCCUAGCUGGAGUCACCAUCCGUUCAGGGUUACCUCGGUGGAAGCUAACAACCUUCUCCAGUUGGACGGUCGACCACCGGAUGCCCUGCACUUCAGUGAAGCCCAUUAGACAAAGACCAUCGACUGUCCGAGCACCCCAGGAGGUAUCCCAUCCACCAGAGCCAGUGAGUUCAGAUCAGUCUGGUUCUCUGAGUCAGAAGGGUACCAGCCUGAUGUCCUCAAUUACCAACCACUCUCCAACUUUUCAUUACAUCUGCUACAGCUACUGUUGUCAUUAUCUGCUAAGAAAUAUUUUGUGCUCUAUCAUGCUGGGCACAUAUGUGAGAUACACAGACUAACUAACUAAAAACACUUGCACUGCAAACACUCCGAACAGGCAGAACCUCCCAACCACACAGCAACCACCUCCUUUAUAUUCCACACACCAGAAUUCUGUAUUUUAGUUUUUGAUUGCCAUGAGUGUACAAAGAAUCUGUGAAAAAUAUUAGUGCCACAACUGUACCAAAGGAAUAUCAAUGUUUAUGUAUUAAUCUUUAAUAGGUUGGAUUUCACAGCGGUUUCACAAGGUGUUAAUUGUAAGGUAUCCCUUGAUGGUAUUUAUUAGUUCCACAUUACUUAUUGUUGUGUCCUAGGAUCUACAAUAGACACAUAUAUUCAACCACAAGGGUGUGCUAGUGAGCUAUGCGAGAUAGAAAAAAAAAUGUAUCAUACUAGAGGACUACAGAAAUUAUAUUAUUCGGUGUAGAUGAGGGAAGGGCAGGUUAAGAUAUAAACAUGACAGCCAGACAAGCCAGUGUAUGAAUCAAAUGGAUUUGCUUAUGAAUGGAGAGGAAAUUAGCUGAUUUUUGUGAUCUGUAAGCAAAGUAACAUUAAUGUGUCAAGCAGAUUAGUUAGAAACUCUGAAGCUCUCAACUAGAUGAGAAGAGUUCCCUCAGUCCAGUGUCUGUGUUCUUUUGCCCCUCUUAAUCUUUUCUUUUAAUGGCCUGUCUGAGAUAUGGCGCUUUCUUUGCAACUCUGCCUUGAAAGCCAGCAUCCCGGAGUCACCUCUUCACUGUUGACGUUGAGACUGGUGUUUGGCGGGUACUAUUUAAUGAAGCUGCCAGUUGAGACUGAAAUUUAAAAAUGUAUAAAACCAUAACUAGAGACUCAAUGAAUAGGGUACAACAAAGGGCUGCUGUUUUUCUUCAGCACUGUCAACACUUUGUGCAUUUUAUGGAUUAAAGUGUUGAACAUCCUCUACACUACAACCAGCACUGUAGCUGCACUGAAUGACUAAAGCAAAGUGUUCCAAUAAGCUUGCUUUGUUAUUUUUAGCGGCUUGUCUCUUUUCUAAUAUCGAGGAAUGUUUCACUUUCCAUUUUUACACGCUACUCGCUUAUGCACUCACCAGUUCUGUUCUGUGAGCUUGUGUGGCCUGCCACUUCAUGGCUGAGCUGUUGUUGCUCCUAGACGUUUCCACUUACAGUUGACCGGGGCAGCUCCAGCAGGGCAGAAAUUUUAUGAACUUUUUGUAUUUUAUUCAUUUUCCCAGUAGCUGUUGCAAAAGCAGCAGAAAGCGUACAGUAUUAUAUAUAUAUAUAUAUGUAUAUAUAUAAGUGUGUUAACAACCGUUUCACAGGUGCAUGUCCAUUAAUUGUUUAUGGUUCAUU
Long non-coding RNA from Oncorhynchus gorbuscha (pink salmon), 2151 nucleotides. RefSeq lists it as uncharacterized. NCBI's taxonomy places the organism in Eukaryota, Metazoa, Chordata, Actinopteri, Salmoniformes, Salmonidae. The transcript is spliced from 5 exons. The record is from RefSeq and is a predicted model, not a curated record.